Molecule: ribosomal RNA, 456 nt
Filed under: uncultured bacterium
Lineage: Bacteria
Description: bacterial SSU rRNA
Rfam family: Bacterial small subunit ribosomal RNA
Source: RNAcentral
GCAAGUCGAACGGAGUUUUAACGGAAGUUUCGGAUGGAAGUUAGAACUAGUGGCGGACGGGUGAGUAACGCGUGGGUAACCUGCCUCAGUACAGGGGGAUAACAGUUAGAGAUGACUGCUAACACCGCAUAAUAUAGCGAAACCGCAUGAUUUUGCUAUCAAAUAUUUAUAGGUAUGAGAUGGGCCCGCGUCUGAUUAGCUAGUUGGUGGGGUAAAGCCUACCAAGGCGACGAUCAGUAGCCGGCUUGAGAGAGUGACCGGCCACAUUGGGACUGAGACACGGCCCAAACUCCUACGGGAGGCAGCAGUGGGGAAUAUUGGACAAUGGGGGAAACCCUGAUCCAGCGAACCGCCGCGUGAGUGAAGAAGUAUUUCGGUAUGUAAAGCUCUAUCAGCAGGGAAGAUAAUGACAGUACCUGACUAAGAAGCCCCGGCUAACUACGUGCCAGCCGCAGC